This 71-nucleotide transfer RNA is filed under the name Peptacetobacter hiranonis. It matches the Rfam family "tRNA". Rfam says of the family: Transfer RNA (tRNA) molecules are approximately 80 nucleotides in length. Their secondary structure includes four short double-helical elements and three loops (D, anti-codon, and T loops). Further hydrogen bonds mediate the characteristic L-shaped molecular structure. tRNAs have two regions of fundamental functional importance: the anti-codon, which is responsible for specific mRNA codon recognition, and the 3' end, to which the tRNAs corresponding amino acid is attached (by aminoacyl-tRNA synthetases). tRNAs cope with the degeneracy of the genetic code in two manners: having more than one tRNA (with a specific anti-codon) for a particular amino acid; and 'wobble' base-pairing, i.e. permitting non-standard base-pairing at the 3rd anti-codon position. Lineage: Bacteria; Bacillati; Bacillota; Clostridia; Peptostreptococcales; Peptostreptococcaceae. The record is from RNAcentral.
GGGUUAUAGCUCAGCUGGGAGAGCAUCUGCCUUACAAGCAGGGGGUCACAGGUUCGAGCCCUGUUAACCCC